Molecule: long non-coding RNA, 529 nt
Filed under: Gossypium raimondii (Peruvian cotton)
Lineage: Eukaryota; Viridiplantae; Streptophyta; Magnoliopsida; Malvales; Malvaceae
Description: long non-coding RNA (GRAI_LNC000813)
Source: RNAcentral
UUAAAUGUACUAUGUAUCACGCCCCGUAAUUUAUUUUAAUUUCAUAAGUUCAUGCACAAACAAGUAAAGUAGCCUAGUGGUUAAAAGCUUAAAUAAUUUCCUUAUGGUCCUAGGUUCAAUUCCCCACAUCUUCAUUAUUUUUAUUUAAUUUUUGGCUUAUAAAACCUGGUCAACACCUCCAUUAUCAUCCACAACAAUUACUUUAUAGGCAAGGAUUUUUUCCUCCUUUAACUAGUCAACCUACUAUCUUUAGCCUCCUUUUCACUCCUCAUGUUCCCUAUGAUCAACUUUUCAAGCCUUUGUCCCCAAAAGCUUUAUUUUCUUCUCAAUUUCCUACCUUGAACUGUCCAUCCCACCUAAUUUAGCCACCAUUCGCUUUUCAUUUCAUUUUUGUUUUCUCCUCCUCUCCUUUGGUCAUUCCUCCCUUUUCUCAACCCUUUAUCAUCCAUUUUCUUUCAUUUUUAACCUUUAAACCACCAUUUUUCUCCACUGUUCUCCUAUUUUUACCACCCAUAGUUGACCACACCAC